AACGCUAGCUACAGGCUUAACACAUGCAAGUCGAGGGGUAGCAGGGUAGCAAUACCGCUGACGACCGGCGCACGGGUGAGUAACACGUAUCCAACCUUCCCAUAACUCGGGGAUAGCCUUUCGAAAGAAAGAUUAAUACCCGAUAGUACUUAAGAAAGGCAUCUUUUUUAAGUUAAAGAUUUAUUGGUUAUGGAUGGGGAUGCGUUCCAUUAGAUAGUUGGUGAGGUAACGGCUCACCAAGUCUUCGAUGGAUAGGGGUUCUGAGAGGAAGGUCCCCCACAUUGGUACUGAGACACGGACCAAACUCCUACGGGAGGCAGCAGUGAGGAAUAUUGGUCAAUGGGCGAGAGCCUGAACCAGCCAAGUAGCGUGAAGGAUGAAGGUCCUAUGGAUUGUAAACUUCUUUUAUAGUAGAAUAAAGUGAACCACGUGUGGUUUUUUGUAUGUAUACUAUGAAUAAGGAUCGGCUAACUCCGUGCCAGCAGCCGCGGUAAUACGGAGGAUCCGAGCGUUAUCCGGAUUUAUUGGGUUUAAAGGGUGCGUAGGCGGAAUAAUAAGUCAGUUGUGAAAGUUUGCGGCUCAACCGUAAAAUUGCAGUUGAUACUGUUGUUCUUGAGUGUACAUAAGGUAGGCGGAAUUCGUGGUGUAGCGGUGAAAUGCUUAGAUAUCACGAAGAACUCCGAUUG
This 686-nucleotide ribosomal RNA is filed under the name uncultured bacterium. RNAcentral's name for it is "bacterial SSU rRNA". It matches the Rfam family "Bacterial small subunit ribosomal RNA", at positions 32 to 715 of the family's 1533-position model. The record is from RNAcentral.